This 792-nucleotide ribosomal RNA is filed under the name Triticum aestivum (bread wheat). RNAcentral's name for it is "partial small subunit ribosomal RNA". The record is from RNAcentral. Lineage: Eukaryota; Viridiplantae; Streptophyta; Magnoliopsida; Poales; Poaceae.
CUUGCCUUCUGCCAGCGUUCGGGUGGAUCCCAGUUCUGGCAGUCCGUGAUCCAGCUUAUGUCCAUCCUCCGCAUCGGCACGUCCAUCUCGGUUGGCUCCGGGUCCUCGACCCUGUUCUGGUUCGACCGUUGGUUAGGGGACUCCCCCUGGCUGCGUUUCUCAGAACUAUUCGCCAUUGCGGCCGACCCUCGGGUCUUCGUCCAGACGGCCCUUAUUGACUUAGGGCGUCUCGCUUUCCGGCGCCCCUUCGGCCCCCACGAGGUGGCGGCUUGGGACUCCCUCCUCCAGGACAUCGCCCUUAUGCCUAUGAACGUCGAGGAGGCCCAGGAUUCCCUUUCCUGGCGCCUUGAACCGUCUGGCCACUUCUUCAUGAAGUCCUUGUACGCUGCCAUUGCUCCCUCGGCGGCCCCGGAGCCCUUUAGCCUGAUCUGGGACAUCCGCCUACCUCUGAAGAUUAGGAUUUUCUUGUGGCAAUGGAUCGGUGGACGCCUCCCCUCUGGGGUUGAAGUCCUCAAGCGUAACGACCCGGGCGAUGGGAUGUGCCCCAUCUGUGGCACGGCCGAAGAUGCUAACCACAUCUUCUUCUCGUGCUCUACUGCCCAGUUCCUGUGGGCUUGCUUCCACGGAACGGUCGGUGGACAGUGGUGCAAUACCAACUUCCCCGACUUACUUGCGGAGCUCAACGCUUUCCCUCCUCGCUACCGCCAUAUUAGAUGGCUGUGCAUUGGAGUUCUCGCCUGGACGCUUUGGAACAUCCGCAAUAAGCUUAUUAUUCAGAAAGUGCCUCUCUGA